GGUUAAGUGACUAAGCGUACACGGUGGAUGCCCUGGCAGUCAGAGGCGAUGAAGGACGUGCUAAUCUGCGAUAAGCGUCGGUAAGGUGAUAUGAACCGUUAUAACCGGCGAUUUCCGAAUGGGGAAACCCAGUGUGAUUCGUCACACUAUCAUUAACUGAAUCCAUAGGUUAAUGAGGCGAACCGGGGGAACUGAAACAUCUAAGUACCCCGAGGAAAAGAAAUCAACCGAGAUUCCCCCAGUAGCGGCGAGCGAACGGGGAGCAGCCCAGAGCCUGAAUCAGUGUGUGUGUUAGUGGAAGCGUCUGGAAAGGCGUGCGAUACAGGGUGACAGCCCCGUACACAAAAAUGCACAU
This 355-nucleotide ribosomal RNA is filed under the name Escherichia coli. Its description in RNAcentral is "partial 23S ribosomal RNA". It matches the Rfam family "Bacterial large subunit ribosomal RNA", at positions 1 to 392 of the family's 2925-position model. The record is from RNAcentral. Lineage: Bacteria; Pseudomonadati; Pseudomonadota; Gammaproteobacteria; Enterobacterales; Enterobacteriaceae.